RNAcentral lists this ribosomal RNA (45 nucleotides) under Caperonia palustris. Its description in RNAcentral is "partial 26S ribosomal RNA". Lineage: Eukaryota; Viridiplantae; Streptophyta; Magnoliopsida; Malpighiales; Euphorbiaceae. The record is from RNAcentral.
GACCCCAGGUCAGGCGGGACUACCCGCUGAGUUUAAGCAUAUCAA